GCUGCGGGGUCUCGGGGCCCCGGCUAGUUCCCGCCGUGCGGAGCCGAAGGUGCGCAUGCUCCGCAGAGGCCCGCACGGGGCCUGAGUAAACCCUGAUAGAGCCAUCGCGAGGCGGGGUUAUUGCUGGAAUGAUGGUGGUUUGGGGAACUCUUUUUCUGGUGAGGCGGUGAAGUGGGAAGGUGAUAAUUUAAAAAUUGCUUUCUUGAUACAUCGUUGGAGAAGACUCUUGAGAGUCCCUUGGACUGCAAGGAGAUCCAACCAGUCCAUUCUGAAGAUCAACCCUGGGAUUUCUUUGGAAGGAAUGAUGCUAAAGCUGAAGCUCCAGUACUUUGGCCACCUUAUGUGAAGAGUUGACUCAUUGGAAAAGACUCUGAUGCUGGGAGGGAUUGGGAGCAGGAGGAGAAGGGGACGACAGAGGAUGAGAUGGCUGGAUGGCAUCACGGACUCGAUGAACGUGAGUCUGAGUGAACUCCGGGAGUUGGUGAUGGACAGGGAGGCCUGGCGUGCUGCGAGUCAUGGGGUCGCAAAGAGUCGGACACAACUGAGCGACUGAACUGAACUGAACUGAACUGAUACAUCUUUCCAUUAUUUAUUCUUAAAAAACAUAAACAAAGACAUGUCUGUGUUUGUAUUCCACUUCCUCUCCUUCUUUUUUCGAAAGCUCUUAUAUUCAUUGCUGAUUCCACAGGUAGUGUAUUCUGAUUAUUUCAAAGUUGUAGAUAGG
This is a long non-coding RNA of Budorcas taxicolor (takin), 724 nucleotides long. RefSeq lists it as uncharacterized. The record is from RefSeq and is a predicted model, not a curated record. The transcript has 3 exons. Lineage: Eukaryota; Metazoa; Chordata; Mammalia; Artiodactyla; Bovidae.